Molecule: long non-coding RNA, 519 nt
Organism: Plutella xylostella (diamondback moth)
Lineage: Eukaryota; Metazoa; Arthropoda; Insecta; Lepidoptera; Plutellidae
Source: RefSeq, a predicted model, not a curated record
AUAUUAUUGAUAAUAAUUAUGUUUUAUACAACUUGUGAAAUAUGUGGUUUAAGAGCCGCUAGCCGGUCGUAUAGAUGGCCAAAAGAGAAUUUUCAUGGCCAAAUUUCCACUGGAUGAGGAAAGAUGUAAACAGUGGGUUAAGAUGACCGGUAAGGAGGAUCUGGUUUAUGUGCCUAUUGAAAAGCUACAUCAAUUUAAAUGAAUUUGUGGCAAUCAUUUUCUACCACAACAUUUUAAGAACACAAUUGAAAAAAAAACCAUUCCAUGUGUGGGACUUACUGCAGACACUUUAUUUUAUAAUAAAUAAAUAUAAUUAUAUUUUUCCACUUUUAUUUUAUUUCAACAUUAUAUCAUAGCACUUACGUCAACGGAAAAUCUCGAGUUUAUUUUAUGGAUUAUAUUUUUGUGUUCAAAUAGGAACAUAACAUAACGUUGAACCGAGACUUAACGUUGGUGUCAUUGUGUAACACUGAAAUCCUAUUGUGUAAAACUGAAAUUAAAGUAAUACAUACACUCGCA